CAUAGUGUAGCUUAACAUAAAGCAUCUGGCCUACACCCAGAAGAAUUCAUAGUAAAUGAACACUCUGA
Molecule: transfer RNA, 68 nt
Filed under: Heimyscus fumosus
Lineage: Eukaryota; Metazoa; Chordata; Mammalia; Rodentia; Muridae
Description: tRNA-Val
Rfam family: tRNA
About the family: Transfer RNA (tRNA) molecules are approximately 80 nucleotides in length. Their secondary structure includes four short double-helical elements and three loops (D, anti-codon, and T loops).
Source: RNAcentral